This 530-nucleotide long non-coding RNA is filed under the name Bos taurus (domestic cattle). Its description in RNAcentral is "long non-coding RNA NONBTAT016228". The record is from RNAcentral. Lineage: Eukaryota; Metazoa; Chordata; Mammalia; Artiodactyla; Bovidae.
CGAGGUUUGAAGGAGCUCAGAUUGGCAGUGAUAGCAUUCCCGUGUACUUGGAGACUAGACACUUGGAGAAGGGCUCUGGGGGAAGGCUUCUUUUAGUUUUGUUUUGUGUUUUUGUUUAUUUUCUGUUUUAAAACUACAUCUCUGGACAGAGGAGCUUGGUUAGCUGACAUUGUUUUACAGUGCUGAAAAGAAGCGUGGCAUUCAACGGCAUGCACCAGCUACAGGGCCACAAGCAGAGGUCAUGCACUGCAGCGCCACUGGCCUGCACGAUGGAGAAAAAGAAAUAUGUUUAUGUAUCUAUACAUAUAUUUAGAGAGACAGAGCUCUGGUUCCAAAGGGAAUCAGCAGAGUCCAAAUUAAACGCCUGUGUUCCACCUGCAGGUUCCAUCCAACCUGUAAUUUCAGGGAAGGUAUAGGUACUUCCUUCUUGGUGGAGGGAUACCAGCUAGUUCCUGUCUCAUUUCCUUUCCUUUAAUGACCACCUUUGGUUAAAUUUGUUGUUUCUUUGUUCUGAUACAAGCAGUCUUUGA